This 407-nucleotide RNase P RNA is filed under the name Mycobacterium sp. RNAcentral's name for it is "RNase P RNA component class A". It matches the Rfam family "Bacterial RNase P class A". Rfam says of the family: Ribonuclease P (RNase P) is a ubiquitous endoribonuclease, found in archaea, bacteria and eukarya as well as chloroplasts and mitochondria. Its best characterised activity is the generation of mature 5'-ends of tRNAs by cleaving the 5'-leader elements of precursor-tRNAs. Lineage: Bacteria; Bacillati; Actinomycetota; Actinomycetes; Mycobacteriales; Mycobacteriaceae. The record is from RNAcentral.
CGAGUUGGCCGGGCGGCCGCGGCCCGCUGGUGACGGCGGGUCGAGGAAAGUCCGGACUUCACAGAGCAGGGUGAUUGCUAACGGCAAUCCGAGGUGACUCGCGGGACAGUGCCACAGAAAGCAGACCGCCUCCCGGACCCGAUUCGUCGGGACGGGCGGUAAGGGUGAAACGGUGCGGUAAGAGCGCACCAGCAUCCCGGGUGACCGGGGUGGCUCGGUAAACCCCACCCGAAGCAAGGCCAAGAGGCCGCACCGCAAGGUGCGGCUGCGCAGGCGUUCGAGGGCUGCUCGCCCGAGCCUGCGGGUAGGCCGCUCGAGGUACCCGGCGACGGUGUGCCCAGAUGGAUGGUCGCCGCCGCUGCGCUUGCGUGGCGGAACAGAAUCCGGCUUACAGGCCAGCUCGUCCG